Molecule: ribosomal RNA, 498 nt
Filed under: uncultured bacterium
Lineage: Bacteria
Description: partial 16S ribosomal RNA
Rfam family: Bacterial small subunit ribosomal RNA
Source: RNAcentral
ACUCAAAGGAAUUGACGGGGGCCCGCACAAGCGGCGGAGCAUGUGGCUUAAUUCGACGCAACGCGAAGAACCUUACCAGGGCUUGACAUGCGGGGUGAAGCCGUAGAAAUACGGUCCUCUUUCGGGAGCCCGCACAGGUGCUGCAUGGCUGUCGUCAGCUCGUGCCGUGAGGUGUUGCCUUAAGUGGCGCAACGAGCGCAACCCCUAUCCCAUGUUGCCAGCGAGUUAUGUCGGGGACUCAUGGGGGACUGCCGGUGCCAAACCGGAGGAAGGUGGGGAUGAGGUCAAGUCAUCAUGGCCCUUAUGUCCUGGGCUGCACACAUGCUACAAUGCUUGCUACAAAGGGAAGCAAUUCCGCAAGGAGGAGCGAAUCCCAAAAAGGCAAGCUCAGUUCGGAUCGGGGUCUGCAACUCGACCCCGUGAAGUCGGAGUCGCUAGUAAUCGCAGAUCAGCAACGCUGCGGUGAAUACGUUCCCGGGCCUUGCACACACCGCCCGU